UAUACUCAAGGCGAAAGAAGGGACUCUUGAAGAAAGCUAAUGAGCUGUCAGUAUUGUGUGACAUUGACAUCUUUCUUGCCAUGUUUUCACCUGGUGGAAAGCCUAGUGUAUACAAGUCAGAUAACAGGUACUUUUUCUCACCAUGAUACCUCAGGAUUAAACCUUAAAUAUCCAUAUCAUAAUGUUAUAGGUCUUUGCAGAGAAAGCUAAUGGGUCAAUUAUUUUGUUGUAGGAAAUGUGAUUGUUACUUUUUCAUGCCAAGACAUUUUAUCCAUGUCUCCAAUUUAUGAGAUAUGAAGUAUUUUGUGGCAUCCACCUGAAUGAAAAUAGGCUAAUUUGAAUUAAUAUGCACCUUUAAAUCUAACAAACAUUUUUCACCAGGUGGAAAGCCUAGUGUAUACAAGUCAGAUAACAGGUACUUUUUCUCACCAUGAUACCUCAGGAUUAAACCUUAAAUAUCCAUAUCAUAAUGUUAUAGGUCUUUGCAGAGAAAGCUAAUGGGUCAAUUAUUUUGUUGUAGGAAAUGUGAUUGUUACUUUU
This 540-nucleotide long non-coding RNA is filed under the name Nicotiana benthamiana. RNAcentral's name for it is "long non-coding RNA (NBEN_LNC029039)". The record is from RNAcentral. Lineage: Eukaryota; Viridiplantae; Streptophyta; Magnoliopsida; Solanales; Solanaceae.